AAAAAACUUAAGUCCCAUAAAGAAGGCAGAAACAUGUUUUUGGUUGAUCAAGAUGAGUUUGGGCCAAAUAUAAGGAGGCUGCUUCACUGGAGGGAAUCACAAAGCCAUCUGGGGCAGGAAUGUUGAUGGUGAAGUGACUUCCCUGCUAAAGCUCGCUUGCUGGGAUCCGGAUGCCUCUGCAGAGACAAAGGUGGUUCAGAGUUCAUGGGGAAAAGAGGCAGGGUUUGUGGCUGAGAAGCGGUGCCAAUGGGGAGAGUGGCAGUGUCCAGAGAAAGCCAUCAAUAGUCAGUGGAUCCUUGUGAUCCAAUAUUCAGUGGACAGAGGGUUAGAGGGGCUGUGUUUUUUCCUCCAUCAUUGAAACCAGGACUGAAGAAGGGCCGCAGAGGUCCUGUAAAGGCACAUUCAGAGAAGGAGUAGAUGAGGGAGCCAUGGUCAGUGAUGUUGUAGAAGGAGACCAUGCCAGCCUCAUAGUCCAGGAAAAUCCCAACUUGGCAUGGAGGCACCUGAAGGUGGAGGGGAGUCUGGGGGUAGGUGCCAGCCUCAUAUUUUUGUUUGUUCCACAACCAAAUUGUCCAGAAGCCACUCUUGGAACUAAGCAAAAAGUGCCCCUUCCUGCGCACAGAGUCUCUGCAGACACCCAGGUCCCAGGCCUCCUUUCCUGUCACAUCUACCUCCCAGUAAUGUUUUCCAGAGUGAAAGUGCUGGGCACCCAGGACCAUAGGAUAACUAUCAAAUCUCUCUUCAUUUCCAGGUAUGCUCUGCUGGGUGUCUCCAAGCCUCACUUGUCUCCGAUCUUCUGAAAGUAUCAGCCACGGAUUGGCUGUGUCUGGAUCCAGAGUGAUGUGGACUGCAGAGAGAGGACCACAGUCAGGCCUUGCAUGGGGGGAGUUCACUAAGUCUGUGCCUGUGGUGGGGGGAUUUUGUGUAAACUCCAGGUUGCCAUCCAGGCUCCCUGACCCUGGGAUCUACUCUGCACCCCAUUAUCCCCCGCAAAACUAGAACUUGCCUCACCUGCACAUGUCCUCAGCAUCUUCUUCAGCCCUGGCACAUGGCACACACUCCUGAGUUCUGGAGAGGUAAUAUCCAGGUCCUUCAGGUUCCAGGACUCAC
Molecule: long non-coding RNA, 1110 nt
Filed under: Homo sapiens (human)
Lineage: Eukaryota; Metazoa; Chordata; Mammalia; Primates; Hominidae
Description: long non-coding RNA NONHSAT017647.2
Source: RNAcentral